Molecule: ribosomal RNA, 555 nt
Filed under: uncultured marine eukaryote
Lineage: Eukaryota
Description: SSU rRNA
Rfam family: Eukaryotic small subunit ribosomal RNA
Source: RNAcentral
CUGGUUGAUCCUGCCAGUAGUCAUAUGCUUGUCUCAAAGACUAAGCCAUGCAUGUCUAAGUAUAAGUGUUAUACAGCGAAACUGCGAAUGGCUCAUUAAAACAGUUAUAGUUUAUUUGAUAAUCGAAUUUACAUGGAUAACCGUGGUAAUUCUAGAGCUAAUACAUGCUGGUAUGCCCGACUUUUGCGGAAGGGCGGUAUUUAUUAGAUAACAAGCCAAUAUUCCUCUGGUCUAUUGUGGUGACUCAUAAUAACUGAUCGAAUCGCAAGGCCUUUGGCCGCGAUAAAUCAUUCAAGUUUCUGCCCCAUCAGCUUUCGAUGGUAGUGUAUUGGACUACCAUGGCGUUUACGGGUAACGGAGGAUUAGGGUUCGAUUCCGGAGAGGGAGCCUGAGAAACGGCUACCACAUCUAAGGAAGGCAGCAGGCGCGUAAAUUACCCAAUCCUGACUCAGGGAGGUAGUGACAAGAAAUAACGGACCGGUUCCUUCGGAUUCGGGAUUGCAAUGAGCCGAAUUUACACCCCUUAGCGAGGAUCGAUUGGAGGGCAAGUCUGGU